UACGUAGGGGGCAAGCGUUGUCCGGAUUUAUUGGGCGUAAAGCGCUCGCAGGUGGUUCGUCGCGUCGUGCGUGAAAGACCCCGGCUCAACUGGGGGGUGUCGUGCGAUACGGGCGGACUGGAGGCCAGUAGGGGGAUGCGGAAUUCCGGGUGUAGUGGUGGAAUGCGUAGAGAUCCGGAGGAACACCAGCGGCGAAGGCGGCAUCCUGGACUGGUCCUGACACUCAGGAGCGAAAGCGUGGGGAGCGAACAGG
RNAcentral lists this ribosomal RNA (253 nucleotides) under uncultured bacterium. RNAcentral's name for it is "partial 16S ribosomal RNA". It matches the Rfam family "Bacterial small subunit ribosomal RNA", at positions 524 to 776 of the family's 1533-position model. The record is from RNAcentral.